Molecule: ribosomal RNA, 597 nt
Filed under: Triticum aestivum (bread wheat)
Lineage: Eukaryota; Viridiplantae; Streptophyta; Magnoliopsida; Poales; Poaceae
Description: partial small subunit ribosomal RNA
Source: RNAcentral
AUGACUCCCGCGACGUCGUGCCGGUGUUGCCGCCCACGCACAACCCUCGGCGUGAGACAAGAAGACGGCAACAACGUGUCAGGGCUGUCGCCUAUGCGCGACCUCCGGUGCACUCUCCAUGCAAGACGACGACGUACCUGUGCGCGGUCCCCAGUGCACCUUGUGCCGUCGGGUCCGCCAGCAACCUCAUUGGGCCGGGACUCGGCGGCACGCAUCGUUCGACUCGGCGCACCCCCAUCUACUUACACCAUCGCGGCGCCCAGGCGAGGCACCGCCGCAUCGCGAGGUCAUACUCGCCCCGUCUCACCGGUCCAUGGAGGCGCCAUGGGCUGGUCGGGACUCGUCGACACGCAUCGUUCGACUCGGCGCACCCCCUUCUACUUACACCAUCGGCGGCGCCUGGGCGAGGCUCCGCCGCAUCGCGAGGUCUCCUUCGUCGUUGUCUUGCCGGUCCAUGGAGGCGCCAUGGACUGGCCGGGACUCGCGGACAGGGUCCGUUCGACGCGUCGCGGCGGCGCGGAGCUCGAUGAGUCACGACGACUCGUCGUAACCAUGGAGGCGGCGCAGCACUCGACGAGCAACGAUGACUCGUCGUAG